Molecule: ribosomal RNA, 253 nt
Filed under: uncultured bacterium
Lineage: Bacteria
Description: partial 16S ribosomal RNA
Rfam family: Bacterial small subunit ribosomal RNA
Source: RNAcentral
UACGAGGGGUGCAAACGUUAUUCGGAAUCACUGGGCGUAAAGGGUGCGUAGACGGCAAAAUAAGUCAAUCAUUAAAUCUUCUGGCUUAACUAGGAGUCUGUGAUUGAAACUGAUUUGCCUGAGGAUGGAAGAGAGAAGUGGAAUUCUCGGAGUAGCGGUAAAAUGCGUAGAUCUCGAGAGGAACACCGAUGGCGAAGGCAGCUUCUUGGUCCAUUUCUGACGUUGAGGCACGAAAGCGUGGGGAGCAAACAGG